GCUGGGUGCAGUGGUGCAUGCCUGUAAUCCCAUUGGCUUGGGAGGCUGAGGCAGGAGGAUCGAGAGUUCAAAGCCAGCCUCAGCAAAAAGCAAGGCAUUAAGCAACUCAAUGAGACCCUGUCUCUA
RNAcentral lists this small RNA (126 nucleotides) under Marmota monax (woodchuck). The record is from RNAcentral. Lineage: Eukaryota; Metazoa; Chordata; Mammalia; Rodentia; Sciuridae.